UACGUAAGGACCAAGCGUUGUUCGGAUUUACUGGGCGUAAAGGGCGCGUAGGCGGCUUAACAAGUCACUUGUGAAAUCUCCGGGCUUAACUCGGAACGGCCAAGUGAAACUGUCAAGCUAGAGUGCAGAAGGGGCAAUCGGAAUUCUUGGUGUAGCGGUGAAAUGCGUAGAUAUCAAGAGGAACACCUGAGGUGAAGACGGGUUGCUGGGCUGACACUGACGCUGAGGCGCGAAAGCCAGGGGAGCAAACGGG
This 253-nucleotide ribosomal RNA is filed under the name uncultured bacterium. Its description in RNAcentral is "partial 16S ribosomal RNA". It matches the Rfam family "Bacterial small subunit ribosomal RNA", at positions 524 to 776 of the family's 1533-position model. The record is from RNAcentral.